This 444-nucleotide ribosomal RNA is filed under the name uncultured bacterium. RNAcentral's name for it is "bacterial SSU rRNA". It matches the Rfam family "Bacterial small subunit ribosomal RNA", at positions 29 to 507 of the family's 1533-position model. The record is from RNAcentral.
AACGAACGCUGGCGGCAGGCCUAAUACAUGCAAGUCGAGCGAGAAGCUUUCCUUCGGGGAAGUGGACAGCGGCAGACGGGUGAGUAACGCGUGGGAACGUACCCUUUGGUUCGGGACAACUCCGGGAAACUGGAGCUAAUACCGAAUAAGCCCUACGGGGGAAAGAUUUAUCGCCGAAGGAUCGGCCCGCGUCUGAUUAGCUAGUUGGUGGGUAAAGGCCUACCAAGGCGACGAUCAGUAGCUGGUCUGAGAGGAUGAUCAGCCACACUGGGACUGAGACACGGCCCAGACUCCUACGGGAGGCAGCAGUAGGGAAUAUUGGACAAUGGGCGCAAGCCUGAUCCAGCCAUGCCGCGUGAGUGAUGAAGGCCCUAGGGUUGUAAAGCUCUUUCGGCGGGGACGAUAAUGACGGUACCCGCAGAAUAAGCCCCGGCUAACUUCGUG